AACGAACGCUGGCGGCGCGCCUAAUACAUGCAAGUCGAGCGAGAAGACGUAGCAAUACGUUUGUAAAGCGGCGAACGGGUGAGGAAUACAUGGGUAACCUACCCUCGAGUGGGGAAUAACUAGCCGAAAGGUUAGCUAAUACCGCGUACGCUCCUUGGACUUCGGUUCAGGGAGGAAAGCGAUACCGUGGGUAUCGCGCUCUUGGAUGGGCUCAUGUCCUAUCAGCUUGUUGGUGAGGAACGGCUCACCAAGGCUUCGACGGGUAGCUGGUCUGAGAGGACGAUCAGCCACACUGGCACUGCGACACGGGCCAGACUCCUACGGGAGGCAGCAGUAAGGAAUAUUGCGCAAUGGGCGAAAGCCUGACGCAGCGACGCCGCGUGGGGGAUGAAGGUCUUCGGAUUGUAAACCCCUUUCGGGAGGGAAGAUGGAACGAGCAAUCGUUCGGACGGUACCUCCAGAAGCAGCCACGGCUAACUUCGUGCCAGCCGCCGCCGUAAU
RNAcentral lists this ribosomal RNA (501 nucleotides) under uncultured bacterium. RNAcentral's name for it is "bacterial SSU rRNA". It matches the Rfam family "Bacterial small subunit ribosomal RNA", at positions 29 to 524 of the family's 1533-position model. The record is from RNAcentral.